AACGUAGGGUGCAAGCGUUGUCCGGAAUUACUGGGUGUAAAGGGAGCGCAGGCGGAUUGGCAAGUUGGGAGUGAAAACUAUGGGCUCAACCCAUAAAUUGCUUUCAAAACUGUCAGUCUUGAGUGGUGUAGAGGUAGGCGGAAUUCCCGGUGUAGCGGUGGAAUGCGUAGAUAUCGGGAGGAACACCAGUGGCGAAGGCGGCCUACUGGGCACUAACUGACGCUGAGGCUCGAAAGCAUGGGUAGCAAACAGG
This 253-nucleotide ribosomal RNA is filed under the name uncultured bacterium. RNAcentral's name for it is "partial 16S ribosomal RNA". It matches the Rfam family "Bacterial small subunit ribosomal RNA", at positions 524 to 776 of the family's 1533-position model. The record is from RNAcentral.